Molecule: ribosomal RNA, 510 nt
Filed under: uncultured bacterium
Lineage: Bacteria
Description: partial 16S ribosomal RNA
Rfam family: Bacterial small subunit ribosomal RNA
Source: RNAcentral
GACGAACGCUGGCGGCGUGCUUAACACAUGCAAGUCGAACGAAGAGCGAUGGAAGCUUGCUUCUAUCAAUCUUAGUGGCGAACGGGUGAGUAACGCGUAAUCAACCUGCCCUUCAGAGGGGGACAACAGUUGGAAACGACUGCUAAUACCGCAUACGAUCUAAUCUCGGCAUCGAGGAUAGAUGAAAGGUGGCCUCUACAUGUAAGCUAUCACUGAAGGAGGGGAUUGCGUCUGAUUAGCUAGUUGGAGGGGUAACGGCCCACCAAGGCGAUGAUCAGUAGCCGGUCUGGGAGGAGGAACGGCCACAUUGGGACUGAGACACGGCCCAGACUCCUACGGGAGGCAGCAGUGGGGAAUCUUCCGCAAUGGACGAAAGUCUGACGGAGCAACGCCGCGUGAGUGAUGACGGCCUUCGGGUUGUAAAGCUCUGUUAAUCGGGACGAAAGGCCUUCUUGCGAAUAGGGAGAAGGAUUGACGGUACCGGAAUAGAAAGCCACGGCUAACUACGUG